CACCCCGCGUCCUGACCAUUUCUGCUUGGAAGCAGUCGGCAAGCACGCUGGAAUUUCUAACCAAGACAGGGACAGGCCCGGCUCUGGAGGCUUUUGGUGCAGAAUGGACGGCCACGUGUGUGUUCGGAACGGCCAGCCUGGCCCCUAGCAUCCCAGCCAUGCGUUCUAGCCCAAUGCUCACCUGAUGGCAUGAGGAGGCAACCUGGUCUCCUGCGGAGCAUCUGACUCCGGGGAGAAUGUGCUGGACAAAACAUUAUACGAGGUCUCUGCUGAGGGAUUUCCCAGGCUAGUGGAGGUGACUUUUCACUGAACCAGGGUCCGAG
Lutra lutra (Eurasian river otter) is the source of this 323-nucleotide long non-coding RNA. RefSeq lists it as uncharacterized. The transcript is spliced from 3 exons. The record is from RefSeq and is a predicted model, not a curated record. Lineage: Eukaryota; Metazoa; Chordata; Mammalia; Carnivora; Mustelidae.